RNAcentral lists this ribosomal RNA (3089 nucleotides) under Salmonella enterica subsp. enterica serovar Typhimurium. RNAcentral's name for it is "23S ribosomal RNA". It matches the Rfam family "Bacterial large subunit ribosomal RNA". The record is from RNAcentral. Lineage: Bacteria; Pseudomonadati; Pseudomonadota; Gammaproteobacteria; Enterobacterales; Enterobacteriaceae. RNAcentral also lists the same sequence under 1 other name.
GGUUAAGCGACUAAGCGUACACGGUGGAUGCCCUGGCAGUCAGAGGCGAUGAAGGGCGUGCUAAUCUGCGAUAAGCGCCGGUAAGGUGAUAUGAACCGUUAUAACCGGCGAUACCCGAAUGGGGAAACCCAGUGUGAUUCGUCACACUAUCAUUAACUGAAUCCAUAGGUUAAUGAGGCGAACCGGGGGAACUGAAACAUCUAAGUACCCCGAGGAAAAGAAAUCAACCGAGAUUCCCCCAGUAGCGGCGAGCGAACGGGGAGGAGCCCAGAGCCUGAAUCAGCAUGUGUGUUAGUGGAAGCGUCUGGAAAGGCGCGCGAUACAGGGUGACAGCCCCGUACACAAAAGCGCAUGUGCUGUGAGCUCGAUGAGUAGGGCGGGACACGUGGUAUCCUGUCUGAAUAUGGGGGGACCAUCCUCCAAGGCUAAAUACUCCUGACUGACCGAUAGUGAACCAGUACCGUGAGGGAAAGGCGAAAAGAACCCCGGCGAGGGGAGUGAAAAAGAACCUGAAACCGUGUACGUACAAGCAGUGGGAGCCCCACCACCAAAGCAUUCUCUGGUGUUGAAGGCCCUGCAAAGCAGCAUCGCGGUGGCGGAGCGUCGUUUGCGACGCCCAACACACAAAACAAGCGGUGAAUGCUUUGGGGUGGGGUGACUGCGUACCUUUUGUAUAAUGGGUCAGCGACUUAUAUUCUGUAGCAAGGUUAACCGAAUAGGGGAGCCGGAGGGAAACCGAGUCUUAAUUGGGCGUUAAGUUGCAGGGUAUAGACCCGAAACCCGGUGAUCUAGCCAUGGGCAGGUUGAAGGUUGGGUAACACUAACUGGAGGACCGAACCGACUAAUGUUGAAAAAUUAGCGGAUGACCUGUGGCUGGGGGUGAAAGGCCAAUCAAACCGGGAGAUAGCUGGUUCUCCCCGAAAGCUAUUUAGGUAGCGCCUCGUGAAUUCAUCUCCGGGGGUAGAGCACUGUUUCGGCUAGGGGGCCAUCCCGGCUUACCAACCCGAUGCAAACUGCGAAUACCGGAGAAUGUUAUCACGGGAGACACACGGCGGGUGCUAACGUCCGUCGUGAAGAGGGAAACAACCCAGACCGCCAGCUAAGGUCCCAAAGUCAUGGUUAAGUGGGAAACGAUGUGGGAAGGCCCAGACAGCCAGGAUGUUGGCUUAGAAGCAGCCAUCAUUUAAAGAAAGCGUAAUAGCUCACUGGUCGAGUCGGCCUGCGCGGAAGAUGUAACGGGGCUAAACCAUGCACCGAAGCUGCGGCAGCGAACGUAUCACUUAAAGCGAUUCAGCGGGUUACGAUUGACGGAGCGAAGCGACGUCAAAGCGUAUACAAAGUCGAGUCGGUUUAAGGAUACGUUCGUUGGGUAGGGGAGCGUUCUGUAAGCCCGUGAAGGUGGCCUGUGAGGGUUGCUGGAGGUAUCAGAAGUGCGAAUGCUGACAUAAGUAACGAUAAAGCGGGUGAAAAGCCCGCUCGCCGGAAGACCAAGGGUUCCUGUCCAACGUUAAUCGGGGCAGGGUGAGUCGACCCCUAAGGCGAGGCCGAAAGGCGUAGUCGAUGGGAAACGGGUUAAUAUUCCCGUACUUGGUGUUACUGCGAAGGGGGGACGGAGAAGGCUAUGUUGGCCGGGCGACGGUUGUCCCGGUUUAAGCGUGUAGGUGUGUGUUCCAGGUAAAUCCGGUUCACUUUAACACUGAGGCGUGAUGACGAGGCACUACGGUGCUGAAGCAACAAAUGCCCUGCUUCCAGGAAAAGCCUCUAAGCAUCAGGUAACAUCAAAUCGUACCCCAAACCGACACAGGUGGUCAGGUAGAGAAUACCAAGGCGCUUGAGAGAACUCGGGUGAAGGAACUAGGCAAAAUGGUGCCGUAACUUCGGGAGAAGGCACGCUGACACGUAGGUGAAGUGAUUUACUCAUGGAGCUGAAGUCAGUCGAAGAUACCAGCUGGCUGCAACUGUUUAUUAAAAACACAGCACUGUGCAAACACGAAAGUGGACGUAUACGGUGUGACGCCUGCCCGGUGCCGGAAGGUUAAUUGAUGGGGUCAGCGCAAGCGAAGCUCCUGAUCGAAGCCCCGGUAAACGGCGGCCGUAACUAUAACGGUCCUAAGGUAGCGAAAUUCCUUGUCGGGUAAGUUCCGACCUGCACGAAUGGCGUAAUGAUGGCCAGGCUGUCUCCACCCGAGACUCAGUGAAAUUGAACUCGCUGUGAAGAUGCAGUGUACCCGCGGCAAGACGGAAAGACCCCGUGAACCUUUACUAUAGCUUGACACUGAACAUUGAGCCUUGAUGUGUAGGAUAGGUGGGAGGCUUUGAAGUGUGGACGCCAGUCUGCAUGGAGCCGACCUUGAAAUACCACCCUUUAAUGUUUGAUGUUCUAACGUGGACCCGUAAUCCGGGUUGCGGACAGUGUCUGGUGGGUAGUUUGACUGGGGCGGUCUCCUCCUAAAGAGUAACGGAGGAGCACGAAGGUUGGCUAAUCCUGGUCGGACAUCAGGAGGUUAGUGCAAUGGCAUAAGCCAGCUUGACUGCGAGCGUGACGGCGCGAGCAGGUGCGAAAGCAGGUCAUAGUGAUCCGGUGGUUCUGAAUGGAAGGGCCAUCGCUCAACGGAUAAAAGGUACUCCGGGGAUAACAGGCUGAUACCGCCCAAGAGUUCAUAUCGACGGCGGUGUUUGGCACCUCGAUGUCGGCUCAUCACAUCCUGGGGCUGAAGUAGGUCCCAAGGGUAUGGCUGUUCGCCAUUUAAAGUGGUACGCGAGCUGGGUUUAGAACGUCGUGAGACAGUUCGGUCCCUAUCUGCCGUGGGCGCUGGAGAACUGAGGGGGGCUGCUCCUAGUACGAGAGGACCGGAGUGGACGCAUCACUGGUGUUCGGGUUGUCAUGCCAAUGGCACUGCCCGGUAGCUAAAUGCGGAAGAGAUAAGUGCUGAAAGCAUCUAAGCACGAAACUUGCCCCGAGAUGAGUUCUCCCUGAGACUUAGAGUCUCCUGAAGGAACGUUGAAGACGACGACGUUGAUAGGCCGGGUGUGUAAGCGCAGCGAUGCGUUGAGCUAACCGGUACUAAUGAACCGUGAGGCUUAACCUU